UACAGAGGUCUCAAGCGUUGUUCGGAAUCACUGGGCGUAAAGGGUGCGUAGGCGGGUCUUUAAGUCAGGGGUGAAAUCCUGGAGCUCAACUCCAGAACUGCCUUUGAUACUGAAGAUCUUGAGUUCGGGAGAGGUGAGUGGAACUGCGAGUGUAGAGGUGAAAUUCGUAGAUAUUCGCAAGAACACCAGUGGCGAAGGCGGCUCACUGGCCCGAUACUGACGCUGAGGCACGAAAGCGUGGGGAGCGAACGGG
Molecule: ribosomal RNA, 253 nt
Filed under: uncultured bacterium
Lineage: Bacteria
Description: partial 16S ribosomal RNA
Rfam family: Bacterial small subunit ribosomal RNA
Source: RNAcentral